GUGCACGCUGGCGGUAGGCCUAACACAUGCACGUCGAACGGCAGCACAGUAAGAGCUUGCUCUUACGGGUGGCGAGUGGCGGACGGGUGAGGAAUACAUCGGAAUCUACUUUUUCGUGGGGGAUAACGUAGGGAAACUUACGCUAAUACCGCAUACGACCUACGGGUGAAAGCAGGGGAUCUUCGGACCUUGCGCGAUUGAAUGAGCCGAUGUCGGAUUAGCUAGUUGGCGGGGUAAAGGCCCACCAAGGCGACGAUCCGUAGCUGGUCUGAGAGGAUGAUCAGCCACACUGGAACUGAGACACGGUCCAGACUCCUACGGGAGGCAGCAGUGGGGAAUAUUGGACAAUGGGCGCAAGCCUGAUCCAGCCAUACCGCGUGGGUGAAGAAGGCCUUCGGGUUGUAAAGCCCUUUUGUUGGGAAAGAAAAGCAGCAGGUUAAUACCCCGCUGUUCUGACGGUACCCAAAGAAUAAGCACCGGCUAACUUCGUG
This 491-nucleotide ribosomal RNA is filed under the name uncultured bacterium. RNAcentral's name for it is "partial 16S ribosomal RNA". It matches the Rfam family "Bacterial small subunit ribosomal RNA", at positions 29 to 507 of the family's 1533-position model. The record is from RNAcentral.